RNAcentral lists this long non-coding RNA (938 nucleotides) under Marmota monax (woodchuck). The record is from RNAcentral. Lineage: Eukaryota; Metazoa; Chordata; Mammalia; Rodentia; Sciuridae.
ACUUAAGUCUCCUCUGACAGGGUACAUUGCUAAGUUCCACUUGAUUCCCCUCUUUCAGCAAGCUAGACGGGCUCUGCAGGAGAGGUGGGGACACCACCACCAGCAAGGGAACACCAGAGAAGGUCUGGUGGGUGAUGUUACCCAGGUAUACAGGUGACUGAAAACCCCAAUACUCAUGGCUCUUGGUUUUUGAUUUUAAACCAAGGAUUUCACAAACCAUAACCAGAAAUUUGUACAUGGGCCAGUUCUUUUGAGAAGGAGCUGAAAAUGACAAAUGGCACUUUAUUUUGGCAUGGAUUCCGAGUUUGCAAAUACAAAGAUCUGUGUGCAAAAAAAUAUAGGCACCAUUUGAAAACUGUCAAGCUACUUACAUAUGGCACACAUGCCACACACACACAUGCACGCACACACACGCACGUGCACAUACAGAGGUUGUUUUCAAAUUAAUUUGAAGGGCUAUUUAGCUCUGAGCUUUCACCGCAUUCAGUUAUAUCUGACUCAAUACAGCUGCAAGCUGGGCACUGAUAUCUUUCGAUAGCAAUUCUGUUCCUAGGAUUUGUUUGAAAGCGUUUAGGUUUUCAUGGAUCACUGGAGGUUCUUCAUUUUCCCCCUUCUGUGUUAUGUAGGUCUAAGCCAUCUCUCUAGGCAUAAACUGUCCACUGGUAAAAAUCAAUUUUGAUUUUAUCACUAUUUAUUACUGCUAGUGCCAGCAGUUUAAAAGACUAGAGAGGGAAAACAUGCAAACUAGGAGGAGAAAAAAAAUUACAGCCGGGUCCUCACACCUACCAAUACACAGCCUGCUCUCUUUAAGAGGUAUUUCGUAUCACGCUGAGAGCUUAAAAUUAUCAAUUUGAAAAUUCAAUCCGUAAACAUUUACAGGGCUCUGCUGUUGCUUCCAUCUCCUCUGUGCGCACGUGGCUGGCGUUCCUAAAGCCAGG